RNAcentral lists this ribosomal RNA (468 nucleotides) under uncultured bacterium. RNAcentral's name for it is "partial 16S ribosomal RNA". It matches the Rfam family "Bacterial small subunit ribosomal RNA", at positions 28 to 507 of the family's 1533-position model. The record is from RNAcentral.
GACGAACGCUGGCGGCGUGCUUAACACAUGCAAGUCGAACGGAAAGGCCCUGCUUUUGUGGGGUGCUCGAGUGGCGAACGGGUGAGUAACACGUGAGUAACCUGCCCUUGACUUUGGGAUAACUUCAGGAAACUGGGGCUAAUACCGGAUAGGAGCUCCUGCUGCAUGGUGGGGGUUGGAAAGUUUCGGCGGUUGGGGAUGGACUCGCGGCUUAUCAGCUUGUUGGUGGGGUAGUUGCUUACCAAGGCUUUGACGGGUAGCCGGCCUGAGAGGGUGACCGGCCACAUUGGGCCUGAGAUACGGCCCAGACUCCUACGGGAGGCAGCGGUGGGGAGUAUUACACAAUGGGCGGAAGCCUGAUGCAGCAACGCCGCGUGCGGGAUGACGGCCUUCGGGUUGUAAACCGCUUUCGCCUGUGACGAAGAGUGAGUGACGGUAAUGGGUAAAGAAGCACCGGCUAACUACGUG